CCUCCCUCAGCUCCACCCCUUUUGCCUGGGCCGCAUAAGCCUCCAUCGUUCCCCGCCCUCCGCCGCCUCCAGUCAGCAGUCUCCCUCCUCCGACCAAGGCGCUCUCGCCGGCAGCUAUCACCAGGCGAAGGGGCUCUCUUCUCCUCAUUCCAUCUACCAACUGGCGCGGCGCGAGGAACUAACCGUCAAGGCGUAUUUUCUAUUGGUGGUAAAUAAGGAAGCCCUAGCUUUCCCAGGUUGCAGUAUUGGGUGACAGCUUCCUGUAUCAUCCGGUUGCUUCCCCGCGUGACAGCUACACUCCAUUCUGCUCCGCUAUCGGUCAGCUCCAUUGAGAAUCUAGAUGUGCUUGUCUUCGCGAAUGUUCGAUGGGAAGACACGCUCCUUCUCCAUUACUAGAAAGGCUUUCCCUGAAAGUAAAUACGUCCUCCCUGUCCCAAUCUCCCGCCUAGCCCACCGUCAUCUCCCCCUUCUCCUAUCCUAUGCAACCGUCUCGGGUCUUUUGCUCAAGGUACCCUUGCUCCACUCUGUCCUUCGCUCACUCUCCACAGGUCCUGUCCCAUCUCUCUCCCUCUCAUUCCUCUCCCUACUCCACCGGUCUGGCUACAUGCCCAUCGAUAACUACUCCCUUAGCGCUGCUCUUUCUACCGCCGCCCGCAUGCCCUCCGUUGUUGUUGGUGCCCAGCUCCAUACCCUUUCUGUGAAACUCGGCUUAAGUUCUGAUACCUUUGUCCUUAAUACUCUUAUCAAUAUGUACUCGUCUUGUAGUUAUCCAUCUACUGCAAGAUCAGUUCUUGAUUCUGCUCCCAAAGGAGCCUCUGAUACAGUUUCUUGGAAUACAAUCAUUGCUGGAUACGUACAUGCUGGGCUGCCUAAUAAGGCUUUGCAGGCUUUUAGCCAAAUGGCCAAGGCGCAAGUUAUGCUGGAUGAGGUCACCUUGCUGAAUGCUCUAGUUGCUUGUGCAAGGACAUGCAUGAUGAAGGUCGGAAAGCUCUGUCAUGCACUACUUGUGACAAAUGGUUUUGAGAUUAACUGUUAUAUGGGUUCCUCUUUGAUUAGUAUGUAUGCAAAGUGUGGGCUUGUUGAAGAUGCUCGCAGGGUUUUUGAUGGAUUGCCUGAGAGGAAUGCGGUUUGCUGGACCUCAAUGAUUUCUGGAUAUACACAGUUAGGUCAGUCUAAAGAGGCUGUUAAGCUAUUCAGAGAGAUGCAAAUUGCUGGAGUGAAAGUUGAUGAUGCAACAAUUGCUACUGUUGUAUCUUCAUGCGGCCAGAUGGGAGCACUGGACUUGGGACGGUAUGUCCAUGCUUACUGUGACAUUCAUGGUUUAGGGAAGGAUAUUUCUGUGAAAAAUUCAUUGAUUGACAUGUACUCAAAGUGUGGGGAUAUAAAUAAGGCCUAUGAUAUAUUUUGUGGAAUGGUCAAGCGGGAUGAUUUUUCCUGGACAGUGAUGAUAAUGGGCUUUGCUGCAAAUGGCCUCUCUGGUGAGGCAUUAGAUUUGUUUGCGCAGAUGGAAGAAGAGGGUGAAGUCAUGCCGAAUGAGAUAACUUUCUUGGGUGUCCUAACUUCUUGCAGCCAUGGAGGAUUAGUUGAACAAGGAUACCAUCACUUCCAUCGCAUGUCCAGUAUUUACGGUAUUGCCCCAAGGAUCGAACACUAUGGAUGCAUGGUUGAUCUCCUGGGCCGUGCUAAGUUAUUGGCAGAGGCAGAACAGUUCAUUAAAGAGAUGCCUAUCGCUCCUGAUGUUGUAAUGUGGCGGUCGUUGUUGUUUGCCUGCAGAGCCUGUGGAGAGGUGGGACUUGCAGAGUAUGUAGCAGAAAGGAUCCAAGUAUUGGAGCCAAACAGGUGUGGAGGGGACGUUUUACUUUCUACUGUCUAUGCAACCACAUCAAGGUGGGUUGAUGCAAACAAAGUGAGGACAGGAAUAUACAGUAGCAGAAAGACCAAGCAGCCUGGUUGCUCUUUCAUUGAAGUGGAUGGAUGCGUGCAUGAGUUCUUUGCAGGGGACGAGUCACAUUUUGAAACUGAAGCUAUAUACAACACUCUUUUGGGAAUUAAUGAACUGUUAGUAGCAGAGUCCUUCCUGAUGUGAAAGCUAAUACUCCCUCCGUUCGGAAUUACUUGUCUCGGAUAUGGAUGUAUCUAGAACUAAAAUAUGUCUAGAUACAUCCAUUUCUGCGACAAGUAAUUCCGAAUGGAGGGAGUACAUUUCUAUGGUAACCAUACCUCAGUACCUAUGAUUCUAUAAUCUUCAUUUUGUGAAAUGAUGAAACCCGAAGUAUAUCUACGUAUUUGCAUUUCUCUAUGAGGCGGGAAGUUUAUUUUCCAGACAUUUAUGUCAUGAGCCACUUAAUGUGCAACUGAGUGCACACUGUUAUCCUGAUUUUAUUGGUCUAUCUGAGAUGUUUCCUUCUGGUAUUGCAAUCUGUGCUAGGUAAUACCCACAGUUGUUGCUAUGAUGUUACUAUGUCAGAAAAUUAGCUGUCCAGUGCAUCACUUAUUUGUUCUUCUCUCAUGUUCUUGUCUGACAGUUAUAUUUUUACCCCGAACUUACUAACCCAGCUUUGGUUUCUCUGGCUUAAACUAAUCUGGCAGCAGGGUAUCAUGUGCCCGCUCACCUGUAUCACUGUGUUGGUCAUGGGAAUGUAAAACCAGCAGCCUGAAAGUUCCAAACUCCAGAAUUUAGUUAUUUACUUGAACUGGGCCAUGGAUCGGAAGAAUCAAACUCCACAGGGUAAAGUGCUGAUGAUGAGUCCGUGCUUUUUGCCCCAGAAGCUGACUUUUAUGUUUGAAUAGUUGCACAUUGUCAUUUCACUAAAACUCGGGUUGGCUUUAAAAGGUCAAAUUGCACAAGUGAUUGUUGAAUUUCUCGAGGUAGCUGUCAGCUCCAUUGUCUUCCUCAAAGGUUUCUAUCCCACUCGUGCAUUUGAGAGGAGAAGGUACAUGAAUCUAGUUGUCCAGAAAGCUGUGCACCCCCAGCUUGCUGACUACAUCCACUCUGUGACUACUGGCCUUCUACCUUUCAUACAAAAGGGACUGGUUGAGAGGGUCGUAGUAAUCUUCCACGACAAAGAUCAUGUACCACUCGAGAAGUUUGUGUUCAAGCUUGCAGUCAACCAAUCCUAUGGCUCC
Molecule: RNA transcript, 3126 nt
Organism: Triticum aestivum (bread wheat)
Lineage: Eukaryota; Viridiplantae; Streptophyta; Magnoliopsida; Poales; Poaceae
Gene name: DNA polymerase zeta processivity subunit
Exons: 4
Source: RefSeq, a predicted model, not a curated record